CCUGGUGGCGCAGUGGUUGAGAGUCUGCCUGCCGAUGCAGGGGACGCGGAUUCGUGCCCCGAUCCGGGAAGAUCCCACAUGCCGCGGAGUGGCUGGGCCCGUGAGCCAUGGCCGCUGAGCCUGCGCGUCCGGAGCCUGUGCUCCGCAACGGGAGAGGCCACAACAGUGAGAGGCCCGUGUACCGUAAAAAAAAAAAAAAAAACAACAACUCCGUUUUAAUUUAAUUUUUCUUGAGGUAACAUUGGUUACCGCCUCUCAGCUCGAAAUUCACUCUUUUGUUACUUGCUCUGUGAAAAGUGCUAUGGGUCCUUUAAAUAGUUUUUCCUUGGCCAGCCCGUGGGAUGUUAGGCUUUCCUAAUUGAUGGCACCUGAGGAAGGUGUUGCUUCGUGAUGCCCCGGUGCUUGCUGGGAAGGCUCUUGGUGGCGUCUUCAGCACCCACUCACUCCUGCAGCUCCGAGGGCGUCCUCAGCCCUGCUCCCGGGGCUCACAACUUCUCCGGUAGUCGGCUUCAGCAGUGCGCAGAGAGACGGAAGCUGUCGUCUUCCGUCAGCAUCUUCUAUCAAGCAGUUUUGGAGUAGCGCCUCAGAUGAAGACACUGAGGAAGAGAAAAGUUAAGAAUUUGCCUAUGAUCAGUUAUCCAUCUGUUCAGCCAGUGCACAAAUUACACUGCCCAACUCCAAGAUCAGACUAAACCUGCAGCCUCACAGGAGCUGAGAACAUAUUUAUUCUUUAUCUUUUACUUCAGACGCUCAGCAGGAAGGUAACACACUUUGAAUGAAAAAGGACAAUUCAAGUUAGGUUGGUGCUUUGCCUAAGCCAGAAAGGUUUAGGGAGAGAAAUUGAGGAUGAAGAACACAAGAGACAAGCUUUUUCCUUUUCUUUUUUUUAACCUCUCAUGGUUUGACUUAAUUCUAUUAUUUGAAUGAUUUUGAAUUGAUUUGGACACACCCACAUUUAAA
Molecule: long non-coding RNA, 960 nt
Organism: Lagenorhynchus albirostris (white-beaked dolphin)
Lineage: Eukaryota; Metazoa; Chordata; Mammalia; Artiodactyla; Delphinidae
Exons: 3
Source: RefSeq, a predicted model, not a curated record